UGAUCCCAGCUUGCUGGGGGAUUAGUGGCGAACGGGUGAGUAACACGUGAGUAACCUGCCCUUAACUCUGGGAUAAGCCUGGGAAACUGGGUCUAAUACCGGAUAUGACUCCUCAUCGCAUGGUGGGGGGUGGAAAGCUUUAUUGUGGUUUUGGAUGGACUCGCGGCCUAUCAGCUUGUUGGUGAGGUAAUGGCUCACCAAGGCGACGACGGGUAGCCGGCCUGAGAGGGUGACCGGCCACACUGGGACUGAGACACGGCCCAGACUCCUACGGGAGGCAGCAGUGGGGAAUAUUGCACAAUGGGCGAAAGCCUGAUGCAGCGACGCCGCGUGAGGGAUGACGGCCUUCGGGUUGUAAACCUCUUUCAGUAGGGAAGAAGCGAAAGUGACGGUACCUGCAGAAGAAGCGCCGGCUAACUACGUGCCAGCAGCCGCGGUAAUACGUAGGGCGCAAGCGUUAUCCGGAAUUAUUGGGCGUAAAGAGCUCGUAGGCGGUUUGUCGCGUCUGCCGUGAAAGUCCGGGGCUCAACUCCGGAUCUGCGGUGGGUACGGGCAGACUAGAGUGAUGUAGGGGAGACUGGAAUUCCUGGU
This 591-nucleotide ribosomal RNA is filed under the name Pseudarthrobacter sp. Its description in RNAcentral is "bacterial SSU rRNA". It matches the Rfam family "Bacterial small subunit ribosomal RNA", at positions 70 to 674 of the family's 1533-position model. The record is from RNAcentral. Lineage: Bacteria; Bacillati; Actinomycetota; Actinomycetes; Micrococcales; Micrococcaceae.